CUCGUAAAGUGAUGCAGAUUUUUUAUUCUAUUUCUUUUUGGUACUUGUCACAAUUGGGUGUCCAUCGCGAUGAUAUCGCUACACUACUGCGAAGAGGAAAACUUUCCCAGAGCCUCAGCAAGCCUCCACAUAGGAUUGCAUGCUCAGGUUUCGAGAAAAUUAAGAAAUGAACCAAAUCGCUAAAAAGACCACCUUAGAAUUAAUAAGUAUACAGAAUUUGAAGACGUUUACAUGAAUGCUCUUCGAAUAUAAGUUUUCAAAAACUGUGACUGAAUUACUGAUUAAAAGAUUGUUUUGGGGAUGCGCGCCCCCAAAAACAGAAAUACAUGUCCGAA
This is a non-coding RNA of Paramuricea clavata, 335 nucleotides long. The record is from the annotation of a GenBank genome assembly. NCBI's taxonomy places the organism in Eukaryota, Metazoa, Cnidaria, Anthozoa, Malacalcyonacea, Plexauridae.